Molecule: ribosomal RNA, 461 nt
Filed under: uncultured bacterium
Lineage: Bacteria
Description: partial 16S ribosomal RNA
Rfam family: Bacterial small subunit ribosomal RNA
Source: RNAcentral
CCUACGGGUGGCAGCAGUGAGGAAUAUUGGUCAAUGGGCGCGAGCCUGAACCAGCCAAGUAGCGUGAAGGAUGACUGCCCUACGGGUUGUAAACUUCUUUUGCCGGGGAGCAAGGGCGGGGACGUGUCCCGGCCCGGAGAGUACCCGGAGAAAAAGCAUCGGCUAACUCCGUGCCAGCAGCCGCGGUAAUACGGAGGAUGCGAGCGUUAUCCGGAUUUAUUGGGUUUAAAGGGAGCGUAGAUGGGUUGUUAAGUCAGUUGUGAAAGUUUGCGGCUCAACCGUAAAAUUGCAAUUGAUACUGGCAGCCUUGAGUACAGUUGAGGUAGGCGGAAUUCGUGGUGUAGCGGUGAAAUGCUUAGAUAUCACGAAGAACUCCGAUUGCGAAGGCAGCCUACUAAACUGCCACUGACAUUGAUGCUCGAAAGUGUGGGUAUCAAACAGGAUUAGAUACCCGGGUAGUC